This 647-nucleotide ribosomal RNA is filed under the name Weissella minor. RNAcentral describes it as "bacterial SSU rRNA". It matches the Rfam family "Bacterial small subunit ribosomal RNA", at positions 43 to 673 of the family's 1533-position model. Lineage: Bacteria; Bacillati; Bacillota; Bacilli; Lactobacillales; Lactobacillaceae. The record is from RNAcentral.
UGUGGUUCAACUGAUAUGAAGAGCUUGCUCGGAUUUGAAGAUGAACAUUGCAAAGAGUGGCGAACGGGUGAGUAACACGUGGGAAACCUACCUCUUAGCGGGGGAUAACACUUGGAAACAAGUGCUAAUACCGCAUAAUACUGAUAACCGCAUGGUUAUCAGUUGAAAGAUGGUUCUGCUAUCACUAAGAGAUGGUCCCGCGGUGUAUUAGCUAGUUGGUAAGGUAAUGGCUUACCAAGGCAAUGAUACAUAGCCGAGUUGAGAGACUGAUCGGCCACAAUGGGACUGAUACACGGCCCAUACUCCUACGGGAGGCAGCAGUAGGGAAUCUUCCACAAUGGACGAAAGUCUGAUGGAGCAACGCCGCGUGUGUGAUGAAGGGUUUCGGCUCGUAAAACACUGUUGUAAGAGAAGAAUGACAUUGAGAGUAACUGUUCAGUGUGUGACGGUAUCUUACCAGAAAGGAACGGCUAAAUACGUGCCAGCAGCCGCGGUAAUACGUAUGUUCCAAGCGUUAUCCGGAUUUAUUGGGCGUAAAGCGAGCGCAGACGGUUGUUUAAGUCUGAAGUGAAAGCCCACAGCUUAACUGUGGAAGUGCUUUGGAAACUGGAUAACUUGAGUGCAGUAGAGGAGAGUGGAACUCCAUG